CCCUUAGAUGUUCUGGGCCGCACGCGUGCUACACUGAGUAAUUCAAUGGGUAAGGGAACGCUAGAGCAUUACCUAAUCUUGAAAUUUGCUCGUGAUGGGGAUCGACGGUUGCAAUUUUCCGUCGUGAACGAGGAAUACCUUGUAGGCGCAUGUCAUCAUCAUGCGCCGAAUACGUCCCUGCCCUUUGUACACACCGCCCGUCGCUCCUACCGAUUGAGUGAUCCGGUGAGGCUCAGGGACCUGGACGGAAAGAGCGUUUCGCUUGUUCUGUUUGGGAAACUUGGUCGAACCUUAUCAUUUAGAGGAAGGAGAAGUCGUAACA
This 322-nucleotide ribosomal RNA is filed under the name uncultured eukaryote. RNAcentral describes it as "partial 18S ribosomal RNA". It matches the Rfam family "Eukaryotic small subunit ribosomal RNA", at positions 1470 to 1796 of the family's 1831-position model. The record is from RNAcentral.